GACGAACGCUGGCGGCGUGCCUAAUACAUGCGAGUUGAGCGCUGAAGGUUGGUACUUGUACCAACUGGAUGAGCAGCGAACGGGUGAGUAACGCGUGGGGAAUCUGCCUUUGAGCGGGGGACAACAUUUGGAAACGAAUGCUAAUACCGCAUAAAAACUUUAAACACAAGUUUUAAGUUUGAAAGAUGCAAUUGCAUCACUCAAAGAUGAUCCCGCGUUGUAUUAGCUAGUUGGUGAGGUAAAGGCUCACCAAGGCGAUGAUACAUAGCCGACCUGAGAGGGUGGUCGGCCACAUUGGGACUGAGACACGGCCCAAACUCCUACGGGAGGCAGCAGUAGGGAAUCUUCGGCAAUGGACGAAAGUCUGACCGAGCAACGCCGCGUGAGUGAAGAAGGUUUUCGGAUCGUAAAACUCUGUUGGUAGAGAAGAACGUUGGUGAGAGUGGAAAGCUCAUCAAGUGACGGUAACUACCCAGAAAGGGACGGCUAACUACGUG
This 497-nucleotide ribosomal RNA is filed under the name uncultured bacterium. Its description in RNAcentral is "partial 16S ribosomal RNA". It matches the Rfam family "Bacterial small subunit ribosomal RNA", at positions 28 to 507 of the family's 1533-position model. The record is from RNAcentral.